UACGUAGGGUGCAAGCGUUAUCCGGAUUCACUGGGCGUAAAGAGUCGUGUAGGUGGUUUGUCGCAUCGUACUUGAAAGCCCGAGGCUUAACCUCGGCGUUGGGUACGAGAUGGAUAGACUAGAGGGAGGCAGAGGAAAGGGGAACUCGUGGUGGAGCAGUGAAAUGCGUUGAUAUCACGAGGAACACCAAAGGCGUAGGCACCUUUCUGGGCCUCUCCUGACACUGAGACACGAAAGCUAGGGGAGCGAAGCAGAUUAGAGACCUGCGUAGUCCUAGCCCUAAACGCAUGUCUGCUAGUUGCCCCGACGUAAGUGGGGGUGACGUAAGCUAACGCGUUAAGCAGACCGCCCUGGGGAGUACGAUCGCAAGACUAAAACUCAAAGGAAUUGACGGGGACCCGCACAACCGGUGGAGCGUGUGGUUCAAUUCGAGACAAAGCGAAGGACCUUACCAGGGUUUGACAUGUUAUCGUUUUAACCCCCAAGAAACUGGGGGCUAUCCGCAAGGAUGAUAGCACAGCUGCUGCAUGGCUGUCGUCAGCUCGUGCCGUGGGGUGUUUCCUUAAGUGGAAGAACGAGCGCAACCCGUAUCCGAUGUUACAAGUGUCAUCGGAGACCGCCCACUCUCUGAAUACAGAAAUGAAAAAUUUACGAAUGAUGAAUCUACGAAUGAAAAAUAAAAUUCAUUUGUUUAUUCGCUUAUUCGCAGAUUCGUAGAUUCUGUUUUGAGAGAGUGGGAGGAAGGAACGGACGACGUCAAGUCAGCACGGCGCUUAUACCCUGGGUCACACACACACUACAAUGGCGAAUAACAAUGGGAAGCAAGAGUGCAAACUUAAGCAAAUCCCCUCCAAAUUUCGCCUCAGUUCAGACUGGGGUCUGCAACCCGACCCCAUGAAGUCGGAAUCGGUAGUAAUCGCGGAUCAGCAAGUCGCAGUGAAUACGUUCUCGGGUCU
Molecule: ribosomal RNA, 956 nt
Filed under: uncultured bacterium
Lineage: Bacteria
Description: bacterial SSU rRNA
Rfam family: Bacterial small subunit ribosomal RNA
Source: RNAcentral